GGUUCGAUGGUGUAGUUGGUUAUCACGUCUGUCUCACAUAUUGGUGGCGUAAUGCUCAGUCACGUGCGCACAGGAGGUCUCCGGUUCGAGCCCGAAUCGAACCA
Trametes pubescens is the source of this 104-nucleotide non-coding RNA. Lineage: Eukaryota; Fungi; Basidiomycota; Agaricomycetes; Polyporales; Polyporaceae. The record is from the annotation of a GenBank genome assembly.